This is a long non-coding RNA of Triticum aestivum (bread wheat), 3214 nucleotides long. RefSeq lists it as uncharacterized. The transcript has 2 exons. NCBI's taxonomy places the organism in Eukaryota, Viridiplantae, Streptophyta, Magnoliopsida, Poales, Poaceae. The record is from RefSeq and is a predicted model, not a curated record.
CCGUCUUCAAAGUCCAACCACAACUCCUCCUUCCCCCGCCGUCUUUUAUGCCGACGCAUCCUACCCUCCUCUUGAAACAGGCCCGCACAAAUCCUUCCUCCCUCGCAUGUCCGUCGCCGCCGCCGCCGCCGCCAGCACCGGCCACCUCACCCCAGGCGCGGGACAGAUCUAGGAAUCAGGAGGGGAUGGACGGAGUAUGGCGAACAGGCCGACGGGAUGUGCUCUCUCCUCCCGCUACCAAGGCCCGUGGGCGGGGCGCCCGACCUCUAGACGACGCCGGCGAUAACCAAGGACGGAUGUGCAUCCUGGCAUCUCAGCUCAAGAUGUGUCCAAUUCAUCUCUCCGUGAAGAGGAUUAGCUCCACGACGCCCGCGCCGAACAGCCGAUCAGGAAACCAUCUCCGCCUCCCUGCUUCUUCCCUUCUCUCUGGUUAUCCUGAGAUGGCCCGGCUAGGUGCCGGCCCGACGACACCUCCCCCGCCCAGGCCCUCCAUCGGCUCAAGAUCCGGGCCCCGCCGUGUUGCCGCUCCCAUCUCCCUGCAUCUUCCCGAGAUGGUCCGGCUGGGCGCUGCCCCAUGACCAAGCAUGUGCUGUCCAAGGAAGCCGGCUCCUCCACCCAAGCCUUCCUCUGCAAGGUCGGUGAGGACACCCUUCGUAUGAACCGAUCGUGAUAAUCAUGCACAGGUACACACAUUGACACAUACUCCCUCCGUCCGAAAAUACUUGUCUAGAAUAUCUCGACAAGUAUUUUCGGACGGAGGGAGUACAUGUUUUCCCCACUGAUUUAAUUCGAAUUCAGUUGUCCGUCUCCAUCUCCAAACGGAGCAGAGCCGUCCAGCACACAACGUGAUUUGCAGAUCUAAGGAGGAGGGUGAGGAGGCCGCUGGUGGGUAGGAUGAACAUCGCAGGGAACGAGCAUGCUAGCCGCCCGUCUCGACGUUAUAGAAUCUGAUAAUCUUCUUUUGGUUUUCUUAUAUGUCCGCAGUGGCACUAUGGUGGAUUGGAAUCAUGCCAUGAAGCAGAAGAAGAGGAGGUUUGUUCGCCAUCAAGCCAACCUUGCACUGCUGCACCACGUCUCGCAACAGUUAAGCUAGCUGUUUGUCCUCAAGCUAUUCUGUCUUCUAAUUGUAAGUGGCAAAUCGUAGAAGUGAAGUCCAUCAACAGCAUGGAUGAAAACAAGCUCUGGUAUAAAAUAAGUGAACAGGGACUGCUUUAGCCGUUCCAGAGGCUGUACGCACAUAUAAAUACUCAAGUACUCCCUUGACCGAAGCCCCAGCCCAAUUGCGUCAUUUCGUCCGUGCUCGACAUUGGUGUCUUGCCGUUCUGCCGGAGCCGUGGAAAUCUCACUGUUCUGCCAACCUGGCCGGAAUUUCUCCGUAGUGCCGACUUCAUUGGAAUUACAUCCACUCGUGUAGCCAAGGUACAUCGUUCAAACUGCUCGAGCAAUACUGAUUUGGAGUUGUUUUGGUCAAGCGGUUGAACUGAACCAUGCUACUGCACAGUAGCCAAAAAGAGAGUCAGUUUGUUUCCCUGACCCCUGUGAUCUGAAGCGGCUAAACUGAACCAUGCUAUUACACAAUAGCCCAAAAUUGUCUGGUAGAUAUCAGUAUCAUCAUAUAAUUUUGUUUCUACAAUAUGUAAUAGGUAACCAGCAAUGUUGUUUUUAGUUUACAAGAAUGCUGAUGUUGUUUCAAUGCAUAUAUACUUACUGGAAUUAGUUUGAAUACAUAUACAACACCUUGAUUUUGAAUUUACAAGGUCCUGAUGUUGGAUUUACUGUCUUAUAGAUUUUGUAAUUUACAGUUGCUCCACAAAGUUGCUGUUGUUUGUACAGUGAGCUGAUAUAGAAUGCUUGAUCACACAAACUAAUCUGGCCGCAUAUUUACAGUACUCUUAUGUUGAAUUUACAGUAUGGUGAUGGUGGAUUUAUACACUGUCCUAUAGAUUUUGUUAUUUAUUGUAGUAGCUCCAUAUAGUGUGUCAUUGUUGUUCGUACAGUGAGUUCAUAUAGAGUGCUUGAUCACAUGAAUUUGUCUGAAUGUAUACUACAGUUUCCUGGUGUUUAAUUUAUAAUACAUUGAUGAUGGAAUUAUGGUCCUAUAGCUUCUGUAAAUUUUAGUAGUUAUUUUUACUAGAAUUUUUCGAAUUGCUAUGAUGGAUUUUACAGUACUGUAGUAUUCAUAGAAGUCUAAUUUUUUCUUUGUUUUCGUAGUAAAUUAUACUCCCUCUGUCCCAUACUAUAGGACGUUUUUGCAAGCUAUAUUAGCUUGCAAAAACUUCCUAUAUUAUGGGACGGAGGGAGUAGUUAAUUGAUGAUGGAUUUACUGUCCUAUAGCUUCUAUAAUUUACCGCACUAUUUUUUUUUGAUUGUUUGAAUUUACAGUUCGAAGAUUUACAAUCCUAUAACUUCUGUAAUUUAUAGUAGUAGCCUAAAGGUUGUGAUUUUUAUAUUUCACAGUGAUAGAUUUUACACUAUACAGUUACGUGAAUUUACAGUGCUACAUUUUUUACUGGAAGAACUAUUUGAAGGAGAUUGUGAGAGUACUGACCUGCAGUUUGUCUUCUUGGUAUGACUGUAGUUUACUGGUUGUUUCUCCUUUUUUUUACUGAAGUUCCAGUAUCUUUGUUGUGAUCUGGUUGUUACUGACUGGAAUUUUAGUAAAAUGAACACUGUAAAAUUCAUCAAAGCUGAAUAUGUGCUACACUUUAAAAGUUACUGUUUAUUCAUAGUUAGUUUACUGUAAAUUUCAACUGAAGCCACUGUGUUUAAAGCUUCAUGGCAAUGAAAUGUUUAGUAUGUGAUUAGUUCAUCUUGAGUUGAUCAUUGUACAGCAGGUUGAUGAUGUUUUUGCGGCAGCCUAAUGAUGAAUUUAUAGUAUGUUUGUGUUCAGGAGUUUCUUCCACAAGUAUCAACUUCAGAUCCUUUAGAAUGCCAUGAGAAUUUCAGGUUUUCUUCCAAAAGUGUUGUGAAGAAAACAAAACUGUCAAUAACCUGGAGAAGGUAGUGAGAGUACUGACCUAGCAGUGUUGCUUUUUGGGCCCUUUCAUUGCUUGCUCAUGGAUCAUAGAGCCCAUAGCUCAUACAUACACGAGCCAUGUUUGUAGUGCCUGAAAAUAUUGGUUGAAUGCCCCGUUAUUUUCAGUCAAGUUUUUUUUCAGUUGGUGUCAGAUUUUUACUGGUUGGCAUAUUUGAUUUGAAGGCCAAUUCAAUUUCA